AAUGUUAUUGUGCUCAAUGGUAGCAGUGGAUCUCCCGAGUCAUUGCCAGAUGUAUUGUCUAUUGUGUAAGCGAAAGGUGCCCUACUAAGCAAUCUUUGCCCAUGUGUUGCUUGUACUGCAUGGUUAAAGUUGGCAAUAUAGUUGUAGUCUGCAUUGUUAAAAUGACUACUCCGCAGUGGAAUUGCGCCGUUGAUUUAUUGCUGGCUGGUUUUGAAGGCUGUACUCAUAUCACCAU
This 235-nucleotide unclassified non-coding RNA is filed under the name Hevea brasiliensis (rubber tree). Lineage: Eukaryota; Viridiplantae; Streptophyta; Magnoliopsida; Malpighiales; Euphorbiaceae. The record is from RNAcentral.